This 346-nucleotide ribosomal RNA is filed under the name Chaetospermum artocarpi. RNAcentral's name for it is "SSU rRNA". It matches the Rfam family "Eukaryotic small subunit ribosomal RNA", at positions 594 to 945 of the family's 1831-position model. The record is from RNAcentral. Lineage: Eukaryota; Fungi; Basidiomycota; Agaricomycetes; Sebacinales; Sebacinaceae.
AUAGCGUAUAUUAAAGUUGUUGCAGUUAAAAAGCUCGUAGUUGAACUUCAGGUCUGGUUGGGCGGUCCGCCUCACGGCGUGUACUGUCUGGCCGGUCCUUACUUCUUGGUGAGCCGGCAUGCCCUUUACUGGGUGUGUCGGGGAACCAGGACUUUUACCUUGAGAAAAUUAGAGUGUUCAAAGCAGGCCUACGCCCGAAUACAUUAGCAUGGCAUAAUAAAAUAGGACGUGCGGUUCUAUUUUGUUGGUUUCUAGAGUCGCCGUAAUGAUUAAUAGGGAUAGUUGGGGGCAUUAGUAUUCCGUUGCUAGAGGUGAAAUUCUUGGAUUUACGGAAGACUAACUUCUG